GUAAAAUAUUAUCAAAGUUCAUAUUUUAUAUCAAUUUGAAAAAUAGUGGCAGCGUUUCUCGUUUAUGCAAUACCAUCAUAAAUGGCAAUCUAUUUACCACCUAGUAAAACGUGUCCUUGUUGAACCAGAGAAAUGGAGAUUCGAUACAAGUGAUAAAUGUAAAUUACUGUAAGUAACAUUACUUAAUGUACAUGUAUAGCUGAGAUCAAUUUAAUGUUGGGACGUAUGCGUAAGUAUGCCAUUUCGAAUUUAGAACAGUUUUGUAAAAUCGUUUCAACUGACUAACCUAAAUCACAAACUAAAAACCAAUUCUAACACAUCUUACUAUUUGGCUAUCACACUAAGAAAAAAAACUACCCUGCUGCACCACGUUCUAAUUCAACUAUCUUGCAGAUCUUCGUCAAACUCGGUGAACAUAAACAUGGCAUCCUGAGGAGCUGCGUAUCUUGCUACAGAAUCUGGUAAUGAAAAGAUUAAAUGGUAAUUGUCUAAAUAAACUAAUUCUGAGAUGGGCAACGAGCAAAGUGCAACGAUACAAGAUGAAGAAAUGAGACAGAGCUACAGUGACUUAAGACCUUCACCUCAAGAAUUGUGGGCAGUGCUUUCAAAAGUGCCGUAUUGCUCAUGCGAAUUUUCUGAAAAUUAAGAAGACAUUCAAUCAGAGCUGCAAAGAAAAAGAAGAGAAGUUCAUGCAAUUUUAUUAAAACAGCCAAGCGCUCCAGACUGAAAAUAAGCAUUUCCACCCACCCUUUAAUCUCCCUCAAAUAAAAAACAAAGUGAGCUCCUUUUAUCCUCAGCGUGCGAAAAGUAUUCUCCUAUUUUUUUAAAUUUUUUUGUGACUGCUGGUACCAAACUGGUAACAAAAGCGUAUUCGAGAAGGGGAGAGAUCGACGCGACACGUGGCGGAGAAAUAUGUAACUAACCUAAACGGGAUAAAUAAUAAGCAUUAUGGCUGAAUGUACGUUAAAUUCGUCCUCUUUAAAAAAAAUAAGAGCAAGAAUUAUUGUUGUGUGCCUCAGUGUUUCACUGGAUAUGAUACGAUACAUACAAAACACAAUUUAACCCCGUUUACACCGCCCAUUUUGUUUUGUGGUAGCGCCAUCUGUUAUCACUUCCCUUCUCGAAUUAGCACCUCUGAUUUGUUUGCAUUUGUUUCUGAAUUCAGAUCUGUGGAUAGGAUAUUAUUGGAUAUGCCCUUUCAAAUUUUGAAAAUUGUUUCCAAAAUUUCUACCCCAAGGAAGCACACCCUUGAACGAAUUUACCUUUGUAUGUUCUUUAGGUACAACAUUGAAAACCUACUAAUGAGUAAAAGACUCUUAAGUGAUAUGUGCAAAUUAUAUUUGUAGAUAAUUUGAAAGUGAAUAUUCGAUAAAAUCAACCUUCCAAAAAAUUUUUCAAACAGCGAACCAACCUGUUUCUUUUAUCUUUUUUUUAAAGAAAGUGUAACAAAGCACCCGUUAUUCGUCUUCACGUUUUUCGCCUUGACGUUUGCCAGUUUUAGUGAUCACUCUGUAGAUAAACACCCGGUAUCUAGAAGCGUUGUAAGUUGGGCGGUUUGUUACAAAAUGUUUCAUGCUGAGAGUAUUUGUGUUGGUUCUACGAAAUGAAGAUAAAUGAUUUAAUUUCUAGAGUUGUGUUUCCGACUGUGCCACCGUAAAUAUAGCUGCAAUUAAUUCGCCAUUUGCAACAAUUCCCGUCAAGUAAUUUCACUUACUUAUGUUGCGUCUGCAAGCUCGUAUCAUUUAGAUUUUAGAAGAAGACCAGGGCACAUAGAUAUUUUAUAAUUUCAGCCACGUUAAGCCAUUAUUAGCGGGUUUUUGUUUUAUAUGGUAAUUUAAAUCGAGCAUUAAAACUACAAGACCAUGCCAUGCAGGUUUACGCCGAUAUCAGUUUUGAUAAGCGACCUUUAUGUAGACCUGAGAAAUUUCAAUUAACAAUGAGCCUUACUGGACUACCAACUUUAGAAAUUUCAAGACGGCCAAAUAAAAAUGUCUAAAAUUGGCAGUUUUUAACCUAUAUCUAUCUACAUCUUACAUGGGUAGUAAGAUACAAUACCACCAAAAAGUCAAACUUUUCGCUUUCACCCUGUAUCUCAGAAACAAACGUAACUAGAUCGAUACUGUUUGUGGUAUUAAAAGUUUCACAAAAGAGUGGCACAGGGCCGCGAAACCGCAAGGGUCCAUCUUUAACAGCUGAGAUACACUGCAGUCCGCACUAAAAUAGGACACAUAGUACAUAGAAAUAGUCGGUAACAUGACCUUUCGGGAAGUACUGAUCAAUUCAUGGAAAAUGCGCUAAAGGCGAAAACCUUUUUUUCAUUUUUUAAAGAAUUAUUGGCAAAAUAAAAAAUAAAUAUUGGAAAAAGUAUUCCUGUCGAACUAAAACUGACAUAUCUCGGCGUUUAUUAGUAACUAGAAUUAAAUAGUGCAUAAAGCCUGAAACAAAUGAGACACGAAUAGACGAAUAUGAAUA
This is a long non-coding RNA of Photinus pyralis (common eastern firefly), 2472 nucleotides long. RefSeq lists it as uncharacterized. The record is from RefSeq and is a predicted model, not a curated record. NCBI's taxonomy places the organism in Eukaryota, Metazoa, Arthropoda, Insecta, Coleoptera, Lampyridae. The transcript has 2 exons.